Molecule: ribosomal RNA, 560 nt
Filed under: uncultured bacterium
Lineage: Bacteria
Description: bacterial SSU rRNA
Rfam family: Bacterial small subunit ribosomal RNA
Source: RNAcentral
CCUACGGGAGGCAGCAGUGGGGAAUCUUGCGCAAUGGGCGAAAGCCUGACGCAGCCAUGCCGCGUGAAUGAUGAAGGUCUUAGGAUUGUAAAAUUCUUUCACCGGGGACGAUAAUGACGGUACCCGGAGAAGAAGCCCCGGCUAACUUCGUGCCAGCAGCCGCGGUAAUACGAAGGGGGCUAGCGUUGCUCGGAAUUACUGGGCGUAAAGGGAGCGUAGGCGGAUAGUUUAGUCAGAGGUGAAAGCCCAGGGCUCAACCUUGGAAUUGCCUUUGAUACUGGCUAUCUUGAGUAUGGGAGAGGUAUGCGGAACUCCGAGUGUAGAGGUGAAAUUCGUAGAUAUUCGGAAGAACACCAGUGGCGAAGGCGGCAUACUGGCCCAUUACUGACGCUGAGGCUCGAAAGCGUGGGGAGCAAACAGGAUUAGAUACCCUGGUAGUCCACGCUGUAAACGAUGAGUGCUAGUUGUCGGCAUGCAUGCAUGUCGGUGACGCAGCUAACGCAUUAAGCACUCCGCCUGGGGAGUACGGUCGCAAGNUUAAAACUCAAAUGAAUUGACGG